GGAGUUAGCCGGUGCUUCUUCUGUGAGUGAUGUCCUUCCUGCCGGCUAUUAACCCGCAGGCCUUCUUCCUCACUGAAAGUGCUUUACAACCCGAAGGCCUUCUUCACACACGCGGCAUGGCUGGAUCAGGGUUGCCCCCAUUGUCCAAUAUUCCCCACUGCUGCCUCCCGUAGGAGUCUGGGCCGUGUCUCAGUCCCAGUGUGGCUGAUCAUCCUCUCAGACCAGCUACGGAUCGUCGCAUUGGUGAGCCGUUACCUCACCAACCAGCUAAUCCGACAUAGGCUCAUCCGAUAGCGCGAGGCCCGAAGGUCCCCCGCUUUCCCCCGUAGGGCGUAUGCGGUAUUAGCCUGGGUUUCCCCAGGUUAUCCCCCACUACCGGGCAGAUUCCUAUGCAUUACUCACCCGUCCGCCGCUCGCCACCAGGGAGCAAGCUCCCCGUGCUGCCGCUCGACUUGCAUGUGUUAGGCCUGCCGCCAGCGUUCAAUCUGAGCCANAGAUACAACUCUGA
RNAcentral lists this ribosomal RNA (508 nucleotides) under uncultured bacterium. Its description in RNAcentral is "partial 16S ribosomal RNA". The record is from RNAcentral.